GUCCGUAGGUAUGAUACCCAUCUCCCGGUUUGAAACAAAGAUUGUUUGCAAUUCCAGGUGAACAGCAUCUCCUUUUGCCUCGAGCUUGACCCAUAUGCUGCAUAUCCCUGGAGCGCUCCCUGCCCUCAGCUGUUUCACGAUCUUUAUGAUCUCACAUUUUGUGGUUCACAGUCGACUAAAGGAGGAUCAGUCUUAUACAACCGAUCAAAAUCGCCAGUCCACUGUGGCAGUGGAGUAUGAGAUA
Thalassophryne amazonica is the source of this 244-nucleotide long non-coding RNA. RefSeq lists it as uncharacterized. The record is from RefSeq and is a predicted model, not a curated record. The transcript is spliced from 3 exons. NCBI's taxonomy places the organism in Eukaryota, Metazoa, Chordata, Actinopteri, Batrachoidiformes, Batrachoididae.